Molecule: long non-coding RNA, 1232 nt
Filed under: Cyanistes caeruleus (blue tit)
Lineage: Eukaryota; Metazoa; Chordata; Aves; Passeriformes; Paridae
Description: lncRNA (ENSCCEG00000006538.1)
Source: RNAcentral
GUUUCAGAGUACAAAACUUCCACGUUUGUACCGGAUUUUUAGAUGGGUUUUUUCCCUUUUUUUCCUCUGGAAAAGGAAUUUUGCAGUGGACAGUAAAUGCCAGUUUUGCACCAGCUCAGGGCAGGGAGGAGUGAUUGGUUUGGGGUCAUCUCUGAGCUGUGACUCAGCGCCUGGGCAGGGAAAUCAAGCGUCUUUUAUGCAGAAAUCACAAUAAAUUUCUGUGCUCAUUUGCAUUGAGGACCCUCAAAUCUGACUGAAAUGAUUAUUUCCCCCCUUCAACCCUCUCACUAAUUCCCAGUGACUCACCCUGUGGAUCCACACGUUCUCCCAGCUCCGAGGGGCAGAGCCAGGUCCCACCCGAGUGAAAUCCAGAGGGAUUUGGCUCCAGAGGGAAGAGCAGCCGGGUUUGGGAGCAGGGAGCGACUGCAGGAGCAGAGGGAGCUCAGUCCCCUCUUGCUCCUGACAGCGAAUCCCAGACUGGCUGGGGAAGGGAUCUGGGAAUUCUGCAGCAAGCACAAGAUCAGCAGCAGGUGAAGAGAAGAGAGGAGAGGGAGGAAGAUUUCAGCAAAGGCUGCCCAGCCCCGGAGGAAUUCCACCAGGAAGCGUCUUCCUCCUUUUCCUCCUCCUCUUCUUCCUUCUCCCAUCCCAAAUUCCACACUCGGGUGAGUGAAUUGGGGCAGGAUUUGUGCCUGACCCUGCUUUGUAAUCUCAAAAAAAGCCCCCAGGUCACUUCCCGGAGCUCUGGAGGUGCCAGGGGUGACCUGGGGACAGGUUCUGGGAUUUUGGGGUGAGGAGCAGAGGGACCCGAGUAAGGAGAUAGUUGCAAAAGGGAAGGGAGGAAAAGCAUCAAAUCCACGUGGAAUUCAGCAGCUAGAGGGGAAAAAAAUUGAGGUUCCUCCUAAGCCAAACGAUUCCAUGAUUUUAAUGUGUUGGGCUGGGAGAGUGUGGGAAUUAACCCCGCACAGGUGAUUUGUGCAGAUGUGGAAUUGUGGAAUUUCCCAGCUGGAAUUGCAAGGGGACAGCCUGGGAUAGGGAAUGACUGCUGUCCUUAAAGCGAUUUUUCAGCAAGAAAAAAUCAGGAAUUUUAGGAGGAAUUGAUUUAAACAGAGAAAGGGGAAAAUGAGCACAGGGGAGGGAGAUGGGAUGUGGCUGCUGGGGGUUGGUGCCUGGUUGCUUCCAGGCUGGAAAGCUGCUCCUCUCAUCAGGGAAAUGGUUUCCCUGAGGAUGGUUUC